RNAcentral lists this ribosomal RNA (448 nucleotides) under uncultured bacterium. RNAcentral describes it as "bacterial SSU rRNA". It matches the Rfam family "Bacterial small subunit ribosomal RNA", at positions 28 to 475 of the family's 1533-position model. The record is from RNAcentral.
GAUGAACGCUAGCGGCAGGCUUAACACAUGCAAGUCGAGGGGUAUAGUUCUUCGGAGCUAGAGACCGGCGCACGGGUGCGUAACGCGUAUACAAUCUACCUUUUACAGAGGGAUAGCCCCAGAGAAAUUUGGAUUAAUACCUCAUAGUAUAGCAGUUUCGCAUGAAACCACUAUUAAAGUCACAACGGUGAAAGAUGAGCAUGCGUCCCAUUAGCUAGUUGGUAAGGUAACGGCUUACCAAGGCAACGAUGGGUAGGGGUCCUGAGAGGGAGAUCCCCCACACUGGUACUGAGACACGGACCAGACUCCUACGGGAGGCAGCAGUGAGGAAUAUUGGUCAAUGGACGCAAGUCUGAACCAGCCAUGCCGCGUGCAGGAUGACGGUCCUAUGGAUUGUAAACUGCUUUUGUACGAGAAGAAACAACAAUUACGUGUAAUGUCUUGACGG